RNAcentral lists this transfer RNA (72 nucleotides) under Muntiacus reevesi (Reeves' muntjac). It matches the Rfam family "tRNA". From Rfam's summary of the family: Transfer RNA (tRNA) molecules are approximately 80 nucleotides in length. Their secondary structure includes four short double-helical elements and three loops (D, anti-codon, and T loops). Further hydrogen bonds mediate the characteristic L-shaped molecular structure. tRNAs have two regions of fundamental functional importance: the anti-codon, which is responsible for specific mRNA codon recognition, and the 3' end, to which the tRNAs corresponding amino acid is attached (by aminoacyl-tRNA synthetases). tRNAs cope with the degeneracy of the genetic code in two manners: having more than one tRNA (with a specific anti-codon) for a particular amino acid; and 'wobble' base-pairing, i.e. permitting non-standard base-pairing at the 3rd anti-codon position. RNAcentral also lists the same sequence under 1 other name. The record is from Rfam by way of RNAcentral. Lineage: Eukaryota; Metazoa; Chordata; Mammalia; Artiodactyla; Cervidae.
UCCCUGGUGGCUCAGAUGGUAAAGAAUCCGCCUGCAAUGCAGGAGACCCAGGUUCAAUCCCUGGGUUGGGAA